UGAAAUGAUGAGCGUUUUCUUGCUUCGGCAAGUUGGAAUUACCGACCGAAUUUCAUUGAGGAAAACUACGCUGGCUGUAUCUGAUU
This 86-nucleotide small nucleolar RNA is filed under the name Thermochaetoides thermophila DSM 1495. RNAcentral's name for it is "Chaetomium thermophilum var. thermophilum DSM 1495 A. fumigatus snoRNA Afu_300". It matches the Rfam family "A. fumigatus snoRNA Afu_300". Lineage: Eukaryota; Fungi; Ascomycota; Sordariomycetes; Sordariales; Chaetomiaceae. The record is from Rfam by way of RNAcentral.